AGUGAACGCUGGCGGCAGGCCUAACACAUGCAAGUCGAGCGGCAGCGCGUCCGACCACCCUCGGGUGGUCGGAUGGCGGCGAGCGGCGGACGGGUGAGGAAUGCAUCGGAAUCUGCCUCGUUGUGGGGGAUAACGUAGGGAAACUUACGCUAAUACCGCAUACGACCUACGGGUGAAAGUGGGGGACCUUCGGGCCUCACGCGAUGAGAUGAGCCGAUGCCGGAUUAGCUAGUUGGCGGGGUAAAGGCCCACCAAGGCGACGAUCCGUAGCUGGUCUGAGAGGAUGAUCAGCCACACUGGAACUGAGACACGGUCCAGACUCCUACGGGAGGCAGCAGUGAGGAAUAUUGGACAAUGGGGGAAACCCUGAUCCAGCAACGCCGCGUGAACGAUGACGCUGUUACGCAGUGUAAAGUUCUGUAAGGAGGGAAGAACCACCGGGUAUUGCCCGGUCUGACGGUACCUCCUAAGUAAGCACCGGCUAACUCCGUGCCAGCAG
RNAcentral lists this ribosomal RNA (499 nucleotides) under uncultured bacterium. Its description in RNAcentral is "bacterial SSU rRNA". It matches the Rfam family "Bacterial small subunit ribosomal RNA", at positions 29 to 514 of the family's 1533-position model. The record is from RNAcentral.